Molecule: ribosomal RNA, 217 nt
Filed under: uncultured bacterium
Lineage: Bacteria
Description: partial 16S ribosomal RNA
Rfam family: Bacterial small subunit ribosomal RNA
Source: RNAcentral
GUACUCAGUUCGGAUUGAAGGCUGAAAUUCGCCUUCAUGAAGCUGGAAUUGCUAGUAAUGGCAGGUCAGCAUACUGCCGUGAAUACGUUCCCGGGCCUUGUACACACCGCCCGUCACACCAUGAGAGUUGGGAAUACCCGAAGCCUGUGAGCUAACUGUAAGGAGGCAGCAGUCGAAGGUAGAAUCAAUGAUUGGGGUGAAGUCGUAACAAGGUACC